Saccostrea cuccullata (small rock oyster) is the source of this 2119-nucleotide long non-coding RNA. RefSeq lists it as uncharacterized. The record is from RefSeq and is a predicted model, not a curated record. Lineage: Eukaryota; Metazoa; Mollusca; Bivalvia; Ostreida; Ostreidae. The transcript is spliced from 4 exons.
ACGGAUAUAUGAGGGACAUCCUUAACUAAAGCGAACAUGAGCUUGGUCCUGGAAAGACUAGCUCUUAUCAAGUAAAAUACGUCAUGUGUGACGCAAGCUUCUACUUUGAACGGAAGAGGCAUGAGUUGCAUCCGUUUUUCAAAUUCUGUUAUAUUUGCGUGUUCAUUAGGAAGAAGAAAGUAAAAAUUAACGCAUACUUGCAUUGUGCUUGAUUUUAUGAAUUUGGGGACGUACAAAUUAUAUCUUACACAGUUGGACUUUAGGAUGAAAGAAUUUUUUUCUGCGAGAGAAGAGGAAUUUUAUAUUUUUCAAGUGCACAGGAACUAAAGACUUCAUUGGAAGAUUUUUUUUGAAUGAAAGGUGACUGAGUGCGACGCAUGCCUAGUCAUCACUGGAGCAUAUCCGGGAUCGAUGAAACCAGCAGACGACGAAAAGGCCACGUGAGGAGUGAAGCAGACGGGACUCCAGUUAGAAAGGAUGAUGUAAAAGAAGGGAAAUCUUGCCAAAAAUAACCUUUCGUAAGAAAAAAAACUACGCAGUUUUUAUUAAACGAUUAGGUAAGCUGGUAAGUAAUCUUUUUAUAGCUUCUUUGUUUUGAAUAUAUUUAUAUCUAUACACAACAUUUUAAGUCAAUCGGGACACAUGUCGAUCGAUCCGUAUAGCUUGAUGUAGGUAGUUUAUGGACCACCAAACGAAGCAGAGGAUUAAUUAUAGCUUUAUGAUCAAGCACGUCUUGUGUAUGAAAGCUUGAUGUUUCAGUGCAGACAAAUCAUUUGAUUGACGGUGGUCAUUUCUUAGGUCAACGACAUGCAAACCGGUCAUUGAAACCAAACAAAAAAUAGCUAAAAUUAAUGGUUGGGGAAAAAAUCGAAAACCUAGAUUUAGGUCUUUUGUUUGGACUAUGAAUUAUGCACGCAUACUGAAACGCGUAUCUUUAAAAUAAAAGAUAUUUGUGAUAUUUUUAGUGAGAAGCCCAUGUCACCAUCCUUCACGGACAUGUAGAGUAAAAAAAGUCACUGACCGCAAAAAAUCGGAAACUCCUCAGACAGAAACGAGAACAAAGCUACGCAUUCAUAUAUCAGUGAACCGAAUCGGGAAUUCCCCUCGUAACCUCCUCUCACCAUGGGAGACUGGAUUUGAUUGGGAGGGUCAUCGCCCCAUUUUAUUGCCAGACAAAAAGUAGAUUUUGUUCUCACAAGUACGAAGAAUCCCGCGCAAAUUCUUGUCAUUCUUUGCGACAGAUGUUUUGCCCUGUCUUUCGGCUUGUCAUAUUUGACCAAUACACUCCUACCUGUGUGUUGGAAUACUAAUUCUUUGUUCAGGUAAUCUAAAACCACAGAGUGGGUUGAAAGUUUGUCAGGUGCCCGUGAUUUUAGCUACCCCAAUCAAACUAUUGAACGAUAGUAACUAUGAUAUCCCUCGAUCUAAAUUGAAUUCGUGUUAAUCAGACAAGUAAAUAUUUUAUUAAUGAUCUGAAAAGGUAUACCAUUUAACUACGUACGCCAAGACUAUUUAGUAAACUACCGCGAUAAUAAAAUUAAACAAAAGGAUGAUUCCUAAGAAAUAGUUUUUUGGUAACAAUUAAUAUAAAUAUGUACCAUGGUUGGAGGGUUGAUCUACCAUCGAGACAAACACGUGCAUCUGCAGACAUCGCUUAAUUGGUGUGAAGCAAAAUGUCAGAUAGACUGUGAUUUUUAUAUCUUUUGAUUCAGGGGUGGGCUGAUAUCAAGAAUGGUCUUUGUCAAAAAGAGGUAGUCUGACAUUCAAAGCGAUAACUGACUGCCUGUUCGGUGCUCCUGCUAGUCGGGGCACAUGACCCCAGUCGGGGUCACCGUGUAUUUAUGUGCUCAUCUCGUGAGGGCAUUGUGUAAAAGGAUAAUUAAAGUGACAACAGAAAAUUAAACUUUUUCAGGCACAAUCAAGGGAGAAUUUUGCUGAAUGGGGCUAGAUUCGAUGGUUUUAGACACCGAAGGGGGCCUGUUGGUAGCUUUGUAAUGGACGCCAUCAGUGAAUUAUAUUGUUGCACGUGUCGUGCUAACAGGUUUGAAAAGGGCACAACGGAUAUAGCCGUCACCUUGUUUUAUUGCUGAGAAAAAACUAAGUGCGAUACACUAAUCAG